AUUGAGAGCUUGCUCUCAUGAUCAGCGGCGGACGGGUGAGUAACACGUGAGCAACCUGCCUUUUCAGUGGGGGACAACAGUUGGAAACGACUGCUAAUACCGCAUAAAGUGUUUUGGGGGCAUCCCCGGAACACCAAAGAUUUAUUGCUGAAAGAUGGCCUCGCGUCUGAUUAGAUAGUUGGUGGGGUAACGGCCUACCAAGUCGACGAUCAGUAGCCGGACUGAGAGGUUGAACGGCCACAUUGGGACUGAGAUACGGCCCAGACUCC
RNAcentral lists this ribosomal RNA (269 nucleotides) under uncultured bacterium. RNAcentral describes it as "partial 16S ribosomal RNA". It matches the Rfam family "Bacterial small subunit ribosomal RNA", at positions 71 to 339 of the family's 1533-position model. The record is from RNAcentral. RNAcentral also lists the same sequence under 1 other name.